UGCAAUGCCCGCUCACAGCGCCGAUGAAGAAGUUCAACAGACUGAGCCCUCAUGUUUCAAUCCAGCCGAUCGACAACACAAGCCUUCUAGGUGCUCGCCCCGGACAGCCAGAAAAAUGAAGAACCUGGAGAAGAUAAAUUCAAGGCUUUGGAAGGCACUGUCAAGAAUUGGCAAGAGAAAGGUUAAAAAGCUUUCCCAGUCCGAGGCGUUGAAUGCUAUCAGGCCCUAUGUCCGCAAGACAUUCUUUAGAUUGCUUGAGACUCAAGUUAAAAUUAAUGGCGUGAAACGUAGAGGACGGAGGUGGUCGCCUGAGCACCGCCAGUUCGCUUUAAACUUAUACUUUCAUGGUCCGAAAGCGUACAGACAUCUGUCAAGACUGCUUGACAUGCCAACUGUGAGGUCGCUAAAGCAGUGGUUAUGAAAUAUUCCGAUGACUCCCGGAGUUAUUCCAACCGCUAUUGAAGCCCUCGAAGAAGCUACCCGAAAUUGGCAUUUAACAGAUCGUGCGUGCACAUUAAUAUUUUAAUAAAUGUCCUAGAAGGAACAUCUGCAGUAUGAUGCAAAGCAUGACAUUGUGAUGGGAUUCUCCGAUGACGGUAGGCAAAGAACACCAGCCGUGGCAAAUUCAGCGCUCCUGAUACUUGUGGCAGGCAUUUCGAAAACGUGGAUUCAGCCUGUUGCUUACACAGUAUCAAGGACCAAAACACACGCAGAUACUCUUCAUCAUCUGAUCAUAACAAUAAUCAAGCAGCUGCAGGGAGCCCGGUUGUUUGUGAAGGCGCUCAUCUGCGACCAGGGGGGAAGCAACAUCACUUUGGCAAGUAAGCUAGGUGUGACGCCUGAAGAGCCGUUUUUUGUGCUUGAAGGCCGCAAGAUUUAUUUCCUAUAUGACACACCACACUUACUUAAAUGCACAAGGAAUAAUCUCCGCGCACCUCACAAGC
Long non-coding RNA from Rhipicephalus microplus (southern cattle tick), 944 nucleotides. The record is from RefSeq and is a predicted model, not a curated record. Lineage: Eukaryota; Metazoa; Arthropoda; Arachnida; Ixodida; Ixodidae.